ACAGGUAUUGCUGUAGCCAAAUGUCCAGUGUACCAGAAUACCUAGGUGGAGACAGCUGCUAUCCUGUCUCAGCAACAGCACUGUUUUUAUCUUCUGGAGAUUUAUAAGGUAAAGAUAUGAUACCCAAUACACCAGGUUAAACAAACAGAAGGCAGUUGGGAAGAAGAUGCGGGCAUAGGAGUCCAUUUUGGCAAUGCGGAUGUGUAUUCUUCCAUGCCUCCACGCUCCUGUUCGGCAAUCCUCAAAGCAGCAAAAAAAGCUGGCACAGUCCUUGCCAUCAAGACACUCAUACCCAUAUUCUUCAUCCCUUUCUUGGAGGUGUGUAGCAUUGUUCAUUUGAAUAGUAGCCGAUCGAGGCCGGAUGUCAAUUGUAGGUGCCUAAGGUGGAGUAGCAAAAAAAAGAAGAAAAAGAAAGAUGGUAGGAGGGAGAGACUGUUAUUAUCAACAGAGCAACAGGGAGAUAGAGACUAAUGGGCAACAUGUGAGUGAUGGCUCUGUGUGGGGUACAUGGGAAAUUGCUGAGGAGUUCUAAUGGCAGUGUUACCUUGGGCUUAUUAAAAUCCAUUGCAUUGUACACUUUAACUUUAUGGGAAAGCAGCACAAAUCAAUAGGAAAGUAACAGCUGUGGACUAUUAGCUCUAAAGCCAAACUAAAAAAGUCUUGGAGGUGAAAAGAAACAUUCAGAAAGGUAAUUGUUGGCAUUUUGAGUUUGUGUUUUGUAUUUUACAUUGCUGCUUGAUAUCUGAAAGAAAUUUGUGCGUUGUAUAUGGAAGGAACUGAAAUGUUAUAUUUGAAAUGCAGGAUUUUAAUAUAGGGCUGAUUUGUCUUAAGAGAGGAACAGGUAUAUAUAGAGAGGAAAAAAGGCAAAAGCUGAGUCAUUUGAAUAAGGUUAGAAGAAUCUCUGUAAAAUUCUUCACUUUUUUUUUUUGGGUGUAGGCAGUUUGCCAUCUACUAAUGUUCACCAACUAGAAGGUUCAACAUGUUCCAAAUUUUAUGGAGUAGCCGUACAUGUAUCUACCUUUAUAUUUGAAACAAGUUGAGCAAAUAAAGCAUUUAAAAUACA
Pogoniulus pusillus (Red-fronted tinkerbird) is the source of this 1063-nucleotide long non-coding RNA. RefSeq lists it as uncharacterized. The transcript has 3 exons. The record is from RefSeq and is a predicted model, not a curated record. Lineage: Eukaryota; Metazoa; Chordata; Aves; Piciformes; Lybiidae.